Arvicanthis niloticus (Nile rat) is the source of this 99-nucleotide small nucleolar RNA. NCBI's taxonomy places the organism in Eukaryota, Metazoa, Chordata, Mammalia, Rodentia, Muridae. The record is from RefSeq and is a predicted model, not a curated record.
GUGCCAGGGGUUAAGCUGCGGCACCAUAGCACACUACUGGCGCAUAACUGGGGCCGCCUGCCCUUCGUAGGCGGCCCCUUUUAACCGCUAGCUACAGGC